GAUCCUGGCUCAGGAUGAACGCUAGCGGCAGGCCUAACACAUGCAAGUCGAGGGGCAGCGGAGAGGUAGCAAUACCUUUGCCGGCGACCGGCGCACGGGUGAGUAACACGUAUGCAAUCCACCUGUAACAGGGGGAUAACCCGGAGAAAUCCGGACUAAUACCCCAUAAUAUGGGCUCUCCGCAUGGAGGGUCCAUUAAAGAGAGCAAUUUUGGUUACAGACGAGCAUGCGCUCCAUUAG
This 240-nucleotide ribosomal RNA is filed under the name uncultured bacterium. RNAcentral's name for it is "partial 16S ribosomal RNA". It matches the Rfam family "Bacterial small subunit ribosomal RNA", at positions 15 to 244 of the family's 1533-position model. The record is from RNAcentral.